Molecule: long non-coding RNA, 204 nt
Filed under: Elaeis guineensis (African oil palm)
Lineage: Eukaryota; Viridiplantae; Streptophyta; Magnoliopsida; Arecales; Arecaceae
Description: long non-coding RNA (EGUI_LNC018601)
Source: RNAcentral
GUUUACCUUAGACACCAACUAGUUUAAUUAGUUUUGAUUAGAUCAACCUAAUAGUUCGUGCUAGACCGCUUAGCCAAGAAUCAAGUCCAUUUGAUUCUCGUUAAAGACAUAGACUUGACCAACUACAACUAUUGAAAUUGAUCUAGAGAAUCUUUGACCUAAUCUAAGACAACAAUUGAUUAGAUUUAGUCAAUUCUCUAAUUA